Molecule: ribosomal RNA, 468 nt
Filed under: uncultured bacterium
Lineage: Bacteria
Description: partial 16S ribosomal RNA
Rfam family: Bacterial small subunit ribosomal RNA
Source: RNAcentral
GACGAACGCUGGCGGCGUGCUUAACACAUGCAAGUCGAACGGUGAAGCUCCAGCUUGCUGGCGUGGAUCAGUGGCGAACGGGUGAGUAACACGUGAGCAACCUGCCCCAGACUCUGGAAUAAGCGCUGGAAACGGCGUCUAAUACUGGAUACGAGAUCAAGCCGCAUGGUUAUGGUCUGGAAAGUUGUUCGGUUUGGGAUGGGCUCGCGGCCUACCAGCUUGUUGGUGAGGUAGUGGCUGACCAAGGCGACGACGGGUAGCCGGCCUGAGAGGGCGACCGGCCACACUGGGACUGAGACACGGCCCAGACUCCUACGUGAGGCAGCAGUGGGGAAUAUUGCACAAUGGGCGAAAGCCUGAUGCAGCGACGCCGCGUGAGGGAUGACGGCCUUCGGGUUGUAAACCUCUUUCAGCAGGGAAGAAGCGAAAGUGACGGUACCUGCAGAAGAAGCACCGGCUAACUACGUG